CUACGGAGUGCCCUGCUCCAAACUGACCACUGGGGGACGUGUUCCUUCCCAUGCCUCUGCCGAUCACUCACAGGGCAGUCAGCUUUUACUGUUAACCCCGUAGUUCCCAGAGUACAUGGGGAGAGUCCCCAUGGCACACUGUCUGCAUUGGUGUGGCCUGUGGUUAUGUCUGUGGGCAUCGUCUUGUUUAACUGAUGCAGGAGGACAGCCCAUCGUUGUUGGCACUGUUCUCCAGGCAGGGGUCCCUGAACUGGGUAAGAGUAGAAGAAUUGAGCACAAGCAAAGACGCCUGUGUUCAUUUCUCUCUGCUCUUGACUGUGGCGCUCCUGUGUUAGGUGACCAAGGUCCCGAAACUGUGACUUCCUUGCACGAUGAGUGUGAUAUAACACAAACCCUUCUCUCCUAGGCUGCUUCUUGUCAGAGUAUUUUUAUCACAUCAGAAACAAAACUGGGACACACAACAAAAAUGAAACAAAAAAUGUCACUACAAUAUUUUUGUUUUAGGAAGGAGAGAUGUACUCGGCACGUAGAAUGUCUUAAUUCUAAAUGGAUUCUGUUGAAGCUAUGUAUUUAGUUGCAUAACAUAAGAAAAUGUACGAACAAGUUGCCCCUGGUUAAGGGCAGGUUAAUGAAUAUCUUGGGUGUUGCUUGGUUGAAAAAUCCAGAAAUUUCUGCAAAUGUUUUCUCUAGAUUGAAUCUGAAUAACUUUGAAACUUUAUAUUGAUUCUUUGUGAGUUUUAUAUCACGCACCCCAAUCCCACUCAUCUCCCCUCCCCUUCCUAUCUAUCCUCUGCCCUUGCAACCUCUCUCGCAAAAGAAAACAAAACACAAAAUAA
This 836-nucleotide long non-coding RNA is filed under the name Rattus norvegicus (Norway rat). RNAcentral's name for it is "long non-coding RNA NONRATT006203". The record is from RNAcentral. Lineage: Eukaryota; Metazoa; Chordata; Mammalia; Rodentia; Muridae.